RNAcentral lists this ribosomal RNA (232 nucleotides) under uncultured bacterium. RNAcentral's name for it is "partial 16S ribosomal RNA". It matches the Rfam family "Bacterial small subunit ribosomal RNA", at positions 99 to 334 of the family's 1533-position model. The record is from RNAcentral.
CGGACGGGUGAGUAAUGUCUGGGAAACUGCCUGAUGGAGGGGGAUAACUACUGGAAACGGUAGCUAAUACCGCAUAACGUCGCAAGACCAAAGAGGGGGACCUUCGGGCCUCUUGCCAUCGGAUGUGCCCAGAUGGGAUUAGCUAGUAGGUGGGGUAACGGCUCACCUAGGCGACGAUCCCUAGCUGGUCCGAGAGGAUGACCAGCCACACUGGAACUGAGACACGGUCCAG